This 26-nucleotide non-coding RNA is filed under the name Rattus norvegicus (Norway rat). Lineage: Eukaryota; Metazoa; Chordata; Mammalia; Rodentia; Muridae. The record is from RNAcentral.
UGACUUGGUAAAUAGAGGCCGGGGAC